GUGGGGAAUAUUGGACAAUGGGCGAAAGCCUGAUCCAGCCAUGCCGCGUGUGUGAAGAAGGUCUUCGGAUUGUAAAGCACUUUAAGUUGGGAGGAAGGGCAGUAAGUUAAUACCUUGCUGUUUUGACGUUACCGACAGAAUAAGCACCGGCUAACUUCGUGCCAGCAGCCGCGGUAAUACGAAGGGUGCAAGCGUUAAUCGGAUUUACUGGGCGUAAAGCGCGCGUAGGUGGUUUUGUAAGUUGGAGGUGAAAUCCCCGGGCUCAACCUGGGAACUGCCUCCAAAACUGCAUGACUAGAGGACGGUAGAGGGUAGUGGAAUUUCCUGUGUAGCGGUGAAAUGCGUAGAUAUAGGAAGGAACACCAGUGGCGAAGGCGACUACCUGGACUGAUACUGACACUGAGGUGCGAAAGCGUGGGGAGCAAACAGGAUUAGAAACCCGAGUAGUCC
This 450-nucleotide ribosomal RNA is filed under the name uncultured bacterium. RNAcentral describes it as "partial 16S ribosomal RNA". It matches the Rfam family "Bacterial small subunit ribosomal RNA", at positions 354 to 796 of the family's 1533-position model. The record is from RNAcentral.